GACGAACGCUGGCGGCGUGCUUAACACAUGCAAGUCGAACGGAAAGGCCUGCUUUCCCUUGUGGAUUGCGGGUACUCGAGUGGCGAACGGGUGAGUAACACGUGAGUGAUCUGCCCCCAACUUGGGUAUAAGCCUGGGAAACUGGGUCUAAUUCCCGAUAGGACUGCAGGGUGGUGCCUGUGGUGGAAAACGAUUUUCUAGUGGUUGGGGAUGAGCUCGCGGCCUAUCAGCUUGUUGGUGGGGUAAUGGCCUACCAAGGCGGCGACGGGUAGCCGGCCUGGGAGGGGGGACGGUGACAUUGGGACUGAGAUACGGCCCAGACUCCUACGGGAGGCAGCAGUGGGGAAUAUUGCACAAUGGGCGGAAGCCUGAUGCAGCGACGCCGCGUGGGGGAUGACGGCCUUCGGGUUGUAAACUCCUUUCGACCGCGAGGAAGCCACCUGGUUGGAAGGGUGGUGACGGUAGUGGUAGAAGAAGCACCGGCUAACUACGUG
RNAcentral lists this ribosomal RNA (494 nucleotides) under uncultured bacterium. RNAcentral describes it as "partial 16S ribosomal RNA". It matches the Rfam family "Bacterial small subunit ribosomal RNA", at positions 28 to 507 of the family's 1533-position model. The record is from RNAcentral.